GACGAACGCUGGCGGCGUGCUUAACACAUGCAAGUCGAACGGAAAGGCCCUGCUUUUGUGGGGUGCUCGAGUGGCGAACGGGUGAGUAACACGUGAGUAACCUGCCCUUGACUUUGGGAUAACUUCAGGAAACUGGGGCUAAUGCCGGAUAGGAGCUCCUGCUGCAUGGUGGGGGUUGGAAAGUUUCGGCGGUUGGGGAUGGACUCGCGGCUUAUCAGCUUGUUGGUGGGGUAGUGGCUUACCAAGGCUUUGACGGGUAGCCGGCCUGAGAGGGUGACCGGCCACAUUGGGACUGAGAUACGGCCCAGACUCCUACGGGAGGCAGCAGUGGGGAAUAUUGCACAAUGGGCGGAAGCCUGAUGCAGCAACGCCGCGUGCGGGAUGACGGCCUUCGGGUUGUAAACCGCUUUCGCCUGUGGCGAAGCGUGAGUGACGGUAAUGGGUAAAGAAGCACCGGCUAACUACGUG
This 468-nucleotide ribosomal RNA is filed under the name uncultured bacterium. Its description in RNAcentral is "partial 16S ribosomal RNA". It matches the Rfam family "Bacterial small subunit ribosomal RNA", at positions 28 to 507 of the family's 1533-position model. The record is from RNAcentral.